Molecule: long non-coding RNA, 328 nt
Filed under: Gossypium raimondii (Peruvian cotton)
Lineage: Eukaryota; Viridiplantae; Streptophyta; Magnoliopsida; Malvales; Malvaceae
Description: long non-coding RNA (GRAI_LNC004048)
Source: RNAcentral
UCGGGCCCCGUCAUGGAAAACUGAUUUAGAUACUUUACAUGGGACCGACCUGACCCAUGAGCAACUUUACUUAAAAGUAUGUUGUAAGGGCCCAAUUUUGCCCGGGCCCUAAACAACAACCAAAAAAAUAAAAAUAACAACAGUCCAAAGUCCAUCAGACCCAAUUUUACAAUUACAAAGCCCAAAUUAAACAAAAAACCCUAGUAGCCCAAUAAGUCCAAACCUUAAACAAUUUUCAGCAAAAAAAAAAAAAAGAGAGGGAACAGAAACCCUAGCCGUCACUCCCCAUUUUGCCCCAUGUCAGCGCCGCACCAACUCCUCUACCACC